UUGGUGUUAUUCUCCUUUUUAGGCACAAGUCCCAUAUUCCCUUCUGCUUUGUCAGCUUUCUUGCACUUGGGCCCAAAUGUCCUACAUGGAUUAGUCUCAAUGGCAAAAGCAUUGGAAGUUUUAGCAAUCUCAAGGUGCUCUUCCUCAAGUUCCAAAUGAUGUGCAAUGUCCUCGAGCAUUUUCAUAUUCUCAUUAUGCAUCAUAUUAUUUGCAUAUGUUUCUAUGAGUUGGGAAGGGAGCG
This 241-nucleotide long non-coding RNA is filed under the name Elaeis guineensis (African oil palm). RNAcentral's name for it is "long non-coding RNA (EGUI_LNC073701)". Lineage: Eukaryota; Viridiplantae; Streptophyta; Magnoliopsida; Arecales; Arecaceae. The record is from RNAcentral.